RNAcentral lists this ribosomal RNA (570 nucleotides) under Triticum aestivum (bread wheat). Its description in RNAcentral is "partial small subunit ribosomal RNA". The record is from RNAcentral. Lineage: Eukaryota; Viridiplantae; Streptophyta; Magnoliopsida; Poales; Poaceae.
AUGCCGCUGGGAGUCUUCGCGGGAGUGAACCAUCAUCUACAGAGCACCAUAUUUGUUGUUGCCCUCGUGCGAGAUGAAACAAUACCGUCGUUCAAGUGGGUUUUCAAAACAUUUCUGAGGUGUAUGAACAACAAGCCGCCAAUCUGCAUGCUCACAGACCAGUGUUCUUCGAUGAAGGCAGCCUUAAAAACUAUCCUCCUAGAUACACUACAUAAGUUGUGUCGGUGGCAUAUCAUGAAAAAGUACAAAGACCACCUCGCCUUGCUGUAUAAGGCGCACGAGAAACUCAAGGAUGACCUCAAUGCAGUGUUGAAUCACCCAUUAAUGCCCGCCCCUCCUCUCUCUCCCUCGCCCUCGCGCUCACCGUGGCCCUCGCGCCCGUUGGCCGCGCCUAGGCUUGCCCCUGGUCACGCCCGCGACCGCGCUCACCUCGCCCCGCAACCACUAGCCCGCCCUCCGGCUCCCGACGCUCCUCCUGCUCCUGCCACCCCGGCCAUGGCCUCGCCCUCCCCCGUCUCUCCCUCUGUCCCGUGGCCGCGCCACCGCGCCUGCCCCUCCGCGCCACUAUGA